RNAcentral lists this ribosomal RNA (465 nucleotides) under uncultured bacterium. Its description in RNAcentral is "partial 16S ribosomal RNA". It matches the Rfam family "Bacterial small subunit ribosomal RNA", at positions 28 to 507 of the family's 1533-position model. The record is from RNAcentral.
GACGAACGCUGGCGGCGUGCUUAACACAUGCAAGUCGAACGGAAAGGCCCUGCUUGCAGGGUACUCGAGUGGCGAACGGGUGAGUAACACGUGGGUGAUCUGCCCUGCACUUCGGGAUAAGCCUGGGAAACUGGGUCUAAUACCGGAUAGGAGCCAUUUUUAGUGUGAUGGUUGGAAAGUUUUUUCGGUGUAGGAUGAGCUCGCGGCCUAUCAGCUUGUUGGUGGGGUAAUGGCCUACCAAGGCGGCGACGGGUAGCCGGCCUGAGAGGGUGGACGGCCAAAUUGGGACUGAGAUACGGCAGAGACUCCUACGGGAGGCAGCAGUGGGGAAUAUUGCACAAUGGGAGCAAGCCUGAUGCAGCGACGCCGCGUGGGGGAUGACGGCCUUCGGGUUGUAAACUCCUAUCGCUAGGGACGAAGCUUUUUGUGACGGUACCUAGAUAAGAAGCACCGGCUAACUACGUG